UUCAAAAUUCGUCAGCAUUUUCUUAAUGAAAAGGGUGAUUUUAUAUCAAUACGAGGAACCCUAAAAGUUGUAAUAAAAAGUUAUAAAAUGCCUCUAAUACAAUAUUUAAACAAAUGACCAUAUUUAACAAACAGAGCAACAUUAUAUAUUUCGUGCGAUAUUGUGACAUUGACAGUGAUCUAUAUAGAGAUAUAAAAUGCAGUCAGCAAUCCGUAUUUGUGUGCUGUGUUUCGUUGUGCUUGUGGUGAUUCAGGGCACAAGCAGUCACUUUAUAGGUGGUUACGGUCCUGGCUUUGGUUAUGGUUACGGGCGCGGAUUCGGAGUCGGCGGAUUUGCUGUCGGCGGAUUUGGAGGCUUUUACAGACCGCCCCCUCCUCCCCCACCCGUCUUCGGACCCUACCCUUACCCUUAUUGGGGUUGAUCUUGAGUUAAAAGUAUAAUUAUAUCAAUUGUAAACCAGAAAAUUGGACUGAAUAGUAAAAUGAAUUUUGUUUAUUUCAUUAAUUCGAUUUUUGUGAUUUGCACUAUGGGAUAUGAAAUAAUAACAACAUUGCAGACAUAAUUUAUAUAAUAUAACACAUAUCAAUAUGUUUAAUACACAAGUUACACCAUACAUACAACAUGGCGUAUAUAUGUCACUAACAUAUAAUAUAUUAAUAUGUUUCUGGCAUAUUCGCGUGAUUUCUACGAAGCCGUCGCUAUUUUAGGCCAAUAUGAUGAUAAAAAAAGCAAAAAAAAAAUAAUAAUAGAAAAGUUACAAGAAGAUAUUUUAUAUCUUUAACAGCAAUUUUUUGGCAGAAAGAUACUUUUUCUUUUUUUUUAACAUUUUUUUUUUUAAUAUCGUUUAUAUAUUUUCAGAAAAUAUGUAGAUACAUCACAGAUCUUAGGCAAGUAUUUUUUUUUAAUACAACAGAGUUUUAAAACAGACAAUGUGAUAUGCAUUAAUUUGUGGUUAUAUCUAAUUUAUAUAAUAAAAAAAAAAACAUUAUAUUUAAUGAUAUGUUUUUAACUA
Molecule: long non-coding RNA, 1012 nt
Organism: Plodia interpunctella (Indianmeal moth)
Lineage: Eukaryota; Metazoa; Arthropoda; Insecta; Lepidoptera; Pyralidae
Exons: 2
Source: RefSeq, a predicted model, not a curated record